UGCUUACCAUGCAAGUCGAACGAUGACGGUGGUGCUUGCACCGCCUGAUUAGUGGCGAACGGGUGAGUAACACGUGAGUAACCUGCCCCCCACUUCGGGAUAACCUCGGGAAAUCGUGGCUAAUACCGGAUAUGAGCACUCAUCGCAUGGUGGGUGUUGGAAAGAUUUAUCGGUGGGGGAUGGACUCGCGGCCUAUCAGUUUGUUGGUGAGGUGAUGGCUCACCAAGACGAUGACGGGUAGCCGGCCUGAGAGGGCGACCGGCCACACUGGGACUGAGACACGGCCCAGACUCCUACGGGAGGCAGCAGUGGGGAAUAUUGCACAAUGGGCGAAAGCCUGAUGCAGCGACGCCGCGUGGGGGAUGACGGCCUUCGGGUUGUAAACCCCUUUCAGUAGGGAAGAAGCGAGAGUGACGGUACCUGCAGAAGAAGCGCCGGCUAACUACGUGCCAGCAGCCGCGGUAAUACGUAGGGCGCAAGCGUUGUCCGGAAUUAUUGGGCGUAAAGAGCUUGUAGGUGGCUUGUCGCGUCUGCCGUGAAAACCCGAGGCUCAACCUCGGGCGUGCGGUGGGUACGGGCAGGCUAGAGUGUGGUAGGGGAGACUGGAACUCCUGGUGUAGCGGUGAAAUGCGCAGAUAUCAGGAAGAACACCGAUGGCGAAGGCAGGUCUCUGGGCCAUUACUGACACUGAGAAGCGAAAGCAUGGGUAGCGAACAGGAUUAGAUACCCUGGUAGUCCAUGCCGUAAACGUUGGGCACUAGGUGUGGGGGACAUUCCACGUUUUCCGCGCCGUAGCUAACGCAUUAAGUGCCCCGCCUGGGGAGUACGGCCGCAAGGCUAAAACUCAAGGAAUUGACGGGGGCCCGCACAAGCGGCGGGAGCAUGCUGAUUAUUCGAUGCACGCGAAGAACCUUACCAAGGCUUGACAUGCACUGGACGGCUGCAGAGAUGGUGGCUUUCUUUGGACUGGUGCACCAGGGUGGGUGGCAUGGUU
This 994-nucleotide ribosomal RNA is filed under the name Brachybacterium sp. RNAcentral's name for it is "bacterial SSU rRNA". It matches the Rfam family "Bacterial small subunit ribosomal RNA", at positions 45 to 1050 of the family's 1533-position model. Lineage: Bacteria; Bacillati; Actinomycetota; Actinomycetes; Micrococcales; Dermabacteraceae. The record is from RNAcentral.